CCUACGGGAGGCAGCAGUGGGGAAUUUUGGACAAUGGGCGCAAGCCUGAUCCAGCAAUGUCGCGUGCAGGAUGAAGGCCUUCGGGUUGUAAACUGCUUUUGUACGGAACGGAAAAGUCUGCCCUAAUACGGUGGGCCCAUGACGGUACCGUAAGAAUAAGCACCGGCUAACUACGUGCCAGCAGCCGCGGUAAUACGUAGGGUGCGAGCGUUAAUCGGAAUUACUGGGCGUAAAGCGUGCGCAGGCGGUUAUAUAAGACAGAUGUGAAAUCCCCGGGCUCAACCUGGGACCUGCAUUUGUGACUGUAUAGCUAGAGUACGGUAGAGGGGGAUGGAAUUCCGCGUGUAGCAGUGAAAUGCGUAGAUAUGCGGAGGAACACCGAUGGCGAAGGCAAUCCCCUGGACCUGUACUGACGCUCAUGCACGAAGGCGUGGGGAGCAAACAGGAUUAGAUACCCUGGUAGUCCACGCCCUAAACGACGUCAACUGGUUGUUGGGUCUUCACUGACUCAGUAACGAAGCUAACGCGUGAAGUUGACCGCCUGGGGAGUACGGCCGCAAGGUUGAAACUCAAAUGAAAUUGACGGCUGGAGAGNGCGACGACGACGACGAGGGAGGAGG
Molecule: ribosomal RNA, 620 nt
Filed under: uncultured bacterium
Lineage: Bacteria
Description: bacterial SSU rRNA
Rfam family: Bacterial small subunit ribosomal RNA
Source: RNAcentral